This is a non-coding RNA of Homo sapiens (human), 857 nucleotides long. The record is from RefSeq and is a predicted model, not a curated record. NCBI's taxonomy places the organism in Eukaryota, Metazoa, Chordata, Mammalia, Primates, Hominidae.
AGCUGGUGUGUGUUUCCAGCCACUAGGCAACCCCAGGUCUUCAUCUGAGCACCCAGGGCCAGAAGUCUCACCCUGUCCCCCGUACCAUCCCUUCCCAGCCAGCCACAGUUUCCUUCCUUCUGUUGCCCACACAGUGCUCUCAGCCCCAGAUGCCCUUCCUGACACUUCCUCCCAAGGAAACCCAAGUCCUCCGUCAGGGUCCACCCAAAUGUCCACACCCUCUGGUAGCCUGCCCAGCCCCAGAGGCUCCCCUGAGCUCCCUUCCCCCAUUAGAGCCUACAGAGGCAGUGCUGCCCAGCAGACAUCUCGGCUGGGAGUCAAACAGAGCAAGGCUAUUUUGGUCCCUCUCUCCACUCUAUGUGACCCUGAAAUGUGCCCUGGCCUUAGGAAACAUUCAGCUACAUCAGAGAACGCAAGUCAAGGAAGUUGCUGCCCAGAAACCAAGUGAGGACAUUUACAAGAACCGGCGGCGGCGGCGGCAGCAGCAGCAGCAGCAGCAGCAGCAGCAGCAACUGGAUUUGCUUUUUCACCAGAGGAUCCAGAUUUCCCUGUGGCCUUGCAAACAAAAAAGAAGGAAGACGGAGCAGCACAGUCAUCCCUUUGUGAAAAAAGCAUUCAGGUGGUUGAGGGGAGACUCAGUGAAGUCUUGGGGGUUCAGAGCUACACUGCCAGCCUCUGGGACAGCAGCCCCAGUGUCCCCCGACCCAGGCCUUGCUCCUCCCUGCUGAUGAACGCCCACUCUGCUCCCAGAUGCACACCUGUCCUGAAGACACCCGGUUCUCAUGCUCUUCUCUGCAGCACCUGAAUUGGGCAUUCCUGGAGACGGGGUUUCACCGUGUUAGCCAGGAUGGUCUCGA